This 497-nucleotide ribosomal RNA is filed under the name uncultured bacterium. RNAcentral's name for it is "partial 16S ribosomal RNA". It matches the Rfam family "Bacterial small subunit ribosomal RNA", at positions 28 to 507 of the family's 1533-position model. The record is from RNAcentral.
GACGAACGCUGGCGGCGUGCCUAAUACAUGCAAGUUGAGCGCUGAAGGUUGGUACUUGUACCAACUGGAUGAGCAGCGAACGGGUGAGUAACGCGUGGGGAAUCUGCCUUUGAGCGGGGGACAACAUUUGGAAACGAAUGCUAAUACCGCAUAAAAACUUUAAACACAAGUUUUAAGUUUGAAAGAUGCAAUUGCAUCGCUCAAAGAUGAUCCCGCGUUGUAUUAGCUAGUUGGUGAGGUAAAGGCUCACCAAGGCGAUGAUACAUAGCCGACCUGAGAGGGUGAUCGGCCACAUUGGGACUGAGACACGGCCCAAACGCCUACGGGAGGCAGCAGUAGGGAAUCUUCGGCAAUGGACGAAAGUCUGACCGAGCAACGCCGCGUGAGUGAAGAAGGGUUUCGGAUCGUAAAACUCUGUUGGUAGAGAAGAACGUUGGUGAGAGUGGAAAGCUCAUCAAGUGACGGUAACUACCCAGAAAGGGACGGCUAACUACGUG